UGAGUUGUAGCUCAGUGGUAGAGUACUUGUCUAUCAUGUGUGAGGCACUAGGUUUGAUUCUUAGCACCACAU
Molecule: non-coding RNA, 72 nt
Organism: Ictidomys tridecemlineatus (thirteen-lined ground squirrel)
Lineage: Eukaryota; Metazoa; Chordata; Mammalia; Rodentia; Sciuridae
Source: Rfam